CCUACGGGAGACAGCAGUGAGGGAUAUUGGUCAAUGGGGGAAACCCUGAACCAGCAACGCCGCGUGAGGGAAGACGGUUUUCGGAUUUUUAACCUCUUUCCUCUCUGAGGAUAAUUACUGUAGCAGAAGAGUAAUCUCCGUCUAACGACGUUCCAGCAGCCCCAGUUACACGUAGGCAGCAAGCGUUGUCCGGAGUGACUGGGUGUAAUGGGUGCUUAGUCGGACCUGCAAGUCAGAAGUGAAAUCCAUGAGCUUAACCUGUGAACUGCUUUUGAAACUGUAGGGCUUGAGGGAAUUGGAGGCAGGCGGAAUUGCCGGUGUAGCGGUGAAAUGCGUAGAGAUAGGGAGGAACACCAGUGGCGAAGGCGGCCUGCUGGGCUUUAACUGACGCUGAAGCACGAAAGCGUGGGUAGCAAACAGGAUUAGAUACCCCUGUAGUC
RNAcentral lists this ribosomal RNA (440 nucleotides) under uncultured bacterium. RNAcentral describes it as "partial 16S ribosomal RNA". It matches the Rfam family "Bacterial small subunit ribosomal RNA", at positions 338 to 795 of the family's 1533-position model. The record is from RNAcentral.